AGGCAUGAGUUGGAGGAGGCUCAGAGACAGACAUUGUGUGAUACUGAAAAUCUCCUUCAACUCUUACCCUUCUCCUCAACUCCCAGAAUCUCUCUUUCUUUAGGGUUUGUUACAUAGGUAUACAUGUGCCAUGGUGGUUUGCUGCACCCAUCAACCCAUCAUCUACAUCAGAGAACCUUGUCUUGGGCUAUUGGUAGCCUGUAGAUAAAUUACCCUUGGAUCAAGUGACCAUCCCUGUACAAUAAGAGUUGGCUGAGGAAGAGGAUAGACUGUGAGCAGGAAAGAUCCCCUAGAAAGGCAUAUGGACCGAAAAUGCUGACGCCAAUGCCAAGGAAAAAAGUGUCUUGAAAAAGCAGCCGUGGACGUGGAGUUACCAAAUCAUCCGAAGUGGCUCCUGGACCGGGUGGAGGAGCCAGGCUGCAGAAAUGCAGUUCAUCGCAGGAGUUUUCCUGAACAGAGAAAAGUCUCCACAGAAUAGCAAAAAUAGCAAAAACUCGAAGUCAAGGGUCUUGAGGUCUAAAUUUUCUGUGUGACCCCAGGGAAAUCGUUUCAUCUUUCUAGGUCUUCACAUCCUCACCUGAAAAAUAAAGUGCUUGGCUAAGAAA
This is a long non-coding RNA of Homo sapiens (human), 605 nucleotides long. Ensembl annotates it as long intergenic non-protein coding RNA 1630. NCBI's taxonomy places the organism in Eukaryota, Metazoa, Chordata, Mammalia, Primates, Hominidae. The record is from Ensembl.